Molecule: ribosomal RNA, 253 nt
Filed under: uncultured bacterium
Lineage: Bacteria
Description: partial 16S ribosomal RNA
Rfam family: Bacterial small subunit ribosomal RNA
Source: RNAcentral
UACGGAGGAUGCAAGCGUUAUCCGGAAUGAUUGGGCGUAAAGGGUCCGCAGGUGGCAGUGUAAGUCUGCUGUCAAAGAAUGAGGCUUAACCUCAUCAAGGCAGUGGAAACUACACAGCUAAAGUACGGUCGGGGUAGAAGGAAUUCCUGGUGUAGCGGUGAAAUGCGUAGAGAUCAGGAAGAACACCGGUGGCGAAAGCGUUCUGCUAGACCUGUACUGACACUGAGGGACGAAAGCUAGGGGAGCGAAUGGG